This 906-nucleotide long non-coding RNA is filed under the name Nannospalax galili (Upper Galilee mountains blind mole rat). RNAcentral's name for it is "lncRNA (ENSNGAG00000024572.1)". Lineage: Eukaryota; Metazoa; Chordata; Mammalia; Rodentia; Spalacidae. The record is from RNAcentral.
GUGCGAUUUAUUCUCCUACGGGGCGGGGCUUCGCCUCUCGAGGCGGGGUCUUUGGGCAAGGGGUGGGGCCGUAGGGGGCCGUACCGCAGGUCGGGUGGGAGGGUCAGUUAACCCAGCAAGCCUGUGAAGGAUGGACUCUGGUCGUUCUCUGGUCACAGCUACCUGAGUUACACCACCAUCAUGCUGGAGUCCCAUGGGGGCGCGUCCCCUUCUCCUGAAUCCCUCUCUUGAACGAGCCCAGAUGCGGGCCCGAGGUGCAUUGAGCUGUCAAACCUGACUGCUUUGGCUCACCAGGAAUACUGUUCCCUUGGUCUGGCUUGUACAGAGAGGGGCUAUACCCUGCAGAGGACCUGGACUGUCCAGGAUUAGGCUCAGGGCUCAGUACUGGUAACAGGCGUGGCACCAUGCCACCAUGAAAAGGUAGAGGAUGGCCCCCUGGACCCUGCCGUUACCAGCGUGUCCUUGUCCUCCCCUCACUCUCGCCGAGGGCUCCCUUCAGGCAGAGGUGAGGUCAGGGUUAGAGAAGGGUAGGAAAAGGAAGACGAAAGGAAUGAACCUCUUCUGGGUGGGUCAGUUUAACACACAACUGUGUGACAGAGACGCACGUGCUAACCGGAUGAGAUGCCAGAAAGGGCUACCCCACCCUGGGCAGAUGGAGCUCUGAGGCCCCCGCUUGGACACUGUGAAACCUCCACGUAUGAGGGCGGAAUGCUACUCCUUCCAGAAUACGGCGUAGGGCUCGGCUCCUCGGCUGGCCAGCCCCGAGGGAAGGGAGGGAAGGAUGGGGGCGACGCGGGGACGCUGACCCGCAGGUAAACCCCUUGGGGGAUCGACCCCAGGCGCGAUCGUCAGGCCUGGAGUGCAUCGAGGGGCGGCUAGAAGACUGGCCCCGCCCCAUGGACCCCG